This 1394-nucleotide ribosomal RNA is filed under the name Burkholderia lata. RNAcentral describes it as "16S ribosomal RNA". It matches the Rfam family "Bacterial small subunit ribosomal RNA". Lineage: Bacteria; Pseudomonadati; Pseudomonadota; Betaproteobacteria; Burkholderiales; Burkholderiaceae. The record is from RNAcentral.
AGUCGAACGGCAGCACGGGUGCUUGCACCUGGUGGCGAGUGGCGAACGGGAGAGUAAUACAUCGGAACAUGUCCUGUAGUGGGGGAUAGCCCGGCGAAAGCCGGAUUAAUACCGCAUACGAUCUACGGAUGAAAGCGGGGGACCUUCGGGCCUCGCGCUAUAGGGUUGGCCGAUGGCUGAUUAGCUAGUUGGUGGGGUAAAGGCCUACCAAGGCGACGAUCAGUAGCUGGUCUGAGAGGACGACCAGCCACACUGGGACUGAGACACGGCCCAGACUCCUACGGGAGGCAGCAGUGGGGAAUUUUGGACAAUGGGCGAAAGCCUGAUCCAGCAAUGCCGCGUGUGUGAAGAAGGCCUUCGGGUUGUAAAGCACUUUUGUCCGGAAAGAAAUCCUUGGCUCUAAUACAGUCSGGGGAUGACGGUACCGGAAGAAUAAGCACCGGCUAACUACGUGCCAGCAGCCGCGGUAAUACGUAGGGUGCGAGCGUUAAUCGGAAUUACUGGGCGUAAAGCGUGCGCAGGCGGUUUGCUAAGACCGAUGUGAAAUCCCCGGGCUCAACCUGGGAACUGCAUUGGUGACUGGCAGGCUAGAGUAUGGCAGAGGGGGGUAGAAUUCCACGUGUAGCAGUGAAUGCGUAGAGAUGUGGAGGAAUACCGAUGGCGAAGGCAGCCCCCUGGGCCAAUACUGACGCUCAUGCACGAAAAGCGUGGGGGAGCAAACAGGAUUAGAUACCCUGGUAGUCCACGCCCUAAACGAUGUCAACUAGUUGUUGGGGGAUUCAUUUCCUUAGUAACGUAGCUAACGCGUGAAGUUGACCGCCUGGGGAGUACGGUCGCAAGAUUAAAACUCAAAGGAAUUGACGGGGACCCGCACAAGCGGUGGAUGAUGUGGAUUAAUUCGAUGCAACGCGAAAAACCUUACCUACCCUUGACAUGGUCGGAAUCCCGCUGAGAGGUGGGAGUGCUCGAAAGAGAACCGGCGCACAGGUGCUGCAUGGCUGUCGUCAGCUCGUGUCGUGAGAUGUUGGGUUAAGUCCCGCAACGAGCGCAACCCUUGUCCUUAGUUGCUACGCAAGAGCACUCUAAGGAGACUGCCGGUGACAAACCGGAGGAAGGUGGGGAUGACGUCAAGUCCUCAUGGCCCUUAUGGGUAGGGCUUCACACGUCAUACAAUGGUCGGAACAGAGGGUUGCCAACCCGCGAGGGGGAGCUAAUCCCAGAAAACCGAUCGUAGUCCGGAUUGCACUCUGCAACUCGAGUGCAUGAAGCUGGAAUCGCUAGUAAUCGCGGAUCAGCAUGCCCGGUGAAUACGUUCCCGGGUCUUGUACACACCGCCCGUCUCACCAUGGGAGUGGGUUUUACCAGAAGUGGAUAGUCUAACCGCAAGGAGGACG